Long non-coding RNA from Stegastes partitus (bicolor damselfish), 1611 nucleotides. RefSeq lists it as uncharacterized. The record is from RefSeq and is a predicted model, not a curated record. Lineage: Eukaryota; Metazoa; Chordata; Actinopteri; Pomacentridae. The transcript has 3 exons.
CAGCCUGCAUCAUGUUUGGUGUGUGUGACGCCCGUCUGAACUUGUUUCUACCUGAGAACACGCUCCUGCCUGCAUGACUCUGGAAUCAACAUCACAAGCUCGAGUGUUUUCCAGCCUGGCCUCACCUGAAAUGUACAGACAGAGAAACAUGAGCCAUAAGGAGCAUUUCAGCUCAAAGGUGUAACCUGCCGGGCUCUGGCUCCAGAUGACAGACAGCAGUGGGUGAAGGUUCAGAUGUGCCUCUGCAAUCUAUAUGGUAAGUGGCUCUUCACAGGGUGAUUACAUCAGACAGUGACGUGUGGAAGGACCUGCGAAGCCCAGAUGUGUAAUUAUCUCCAGUCGGGCUCACGUGGUUUACAUGCCACGCUGUCCUGACGCGAGUCCUCGUCGCUGCGGGCCGAACCGGAGCGUGGUGCCGACGGGUCGGAGCUGUUCUGGUGACACGAGGCGACGUACACGAUGUUAGUAACACAGUAUGACAACAGGCCCGUCUUCCACUGCAGGGUUCAGAAUGAUUUGUGAUUUUUAGUGUUGAAAAUAUUUCAGAUUCUGUCACAAAAUCUGGAGCAGAUGUUGAUGAAUGUUAAUGCCUGUUGGAUCCAGAGACUUUCAAUUAAAUACCACCAACUCUUUAAAGUGUAGAAUACUGAAGACUGAACAAAGUUGUAGAGAGAAACCCAAUAAAUCCAACAGAACCGGGCUCAGGAAGGGCGGCCGUCUGCCUCGACAUGUCGGGGUGACACUAAAGAGGAGAGAGAACCGGAUCGCUGGUAGAAGAACGGACAGAACAACGGACACUGGGGAGGUCGGAGGUCUGUGACUGCAGACUGAGGAACAUGCAGCUCCAGAUCCAGAGGAACCUGCAGAGAGGACAACACAGAAACUACAGGAGAGAGACAACACAAAGGUGGUGACAUGCAGCGCUGGCUUCCAGCUGUAUGGAGAGUGGAGGAGAGGAGAGGAGCUCAGUGCAUCAUGGGAAGUCCUCCAGCAGUCUGGGUCUGGAGCAGCAUCAGUAAGGGAUGCUUCAGGGUCACCUGAACCAUUAGCGUUACCAAACAGGAACGUUUUAGGCCUGAUGUUACAGGUGAUGUGGUCGUCUGCCUCCUAAACCUAAAGCCUGAUAGCUGAACACUGCCUACAUCUGAGACUCAAGGAACCAGAAGUAAACCUGCAGCCUGAGACCUCACCAGCAACAGGAAGUAGCUCAGCUCAUGUCCGUCGUCCAGCCGCCAUGAUGAAGCUGCUCUUAUCCACAUGACAAAAACGUGAACUUGCUGUGCUCGAUGAAUGGUUCCACCUGAUGCGGAUAUUUCAGAUCUAACAUCAGUCGUGACGUGGGAACAUCUCAGGUGGUUUGUCUGCAGCUGCUUCUUUAUGUAGAUCAAAUACACAAAGCUUCCACCUGUGGCGACAACAGAAGUGUGUCUUUGUGAAACUUGAAUGUCCAGGCAUGAGGUUGACCGUUAAAUCCUACAGUGUUGUUUCAGACGUCUACGCUGUGUGUGUUUGGCAGGUCCAGAGCCUCGUUUAGACUUCAUCAUGAUCUAGAUGGACAGAGGCUUUACUGUCAUUGUGCAAAAUACAAGGAAACAUCAGCAGCAGUGCAAC